RNAcentral lists this ribosomal RNA (271 nucleotides) under uncultured bacterium. RNAcentral describes it as "partial 16S ribosomal RNA". It matches the Rfam family "Bacterial small subunit ribosomal RNA", at positions 524 to 794 of the family's 1533-position model. The record is from RNAcentral.
UACGUAGGGUGCAAGCGUUGUCCGGAAUUAUUGGGCGUAAAGAGCUCGUAGGCGGUCUGUCGCGUCGGAUGUGAAAACCCGGGGCUCAACCCUGGGCCUGCAUUCGAUACGGGCAGACUAGAGUUCGGCAGGGGAGACUGGAAUUCCUGGUGUAGCGGUGAAAUGCGCAGAUAUCAGGAGGAACACCGGUGGCGAAGGCGGGUCUCUGGGCCGACACUGACGCUGAGGCGCGAAAGCUAGGGGAGCGAACGGGAUUAGAAACCCUAGUAGU